Molecule: non-coding RNA, 149 nt
Organism: Aegilops tauschii subsp. strangulata
Lineage: Eukaryota; Viridiplantae; Streptophyta; Magnoliopsida; Poales; Poaceae
Source: RefSeq, a predicted model, not a curated record
CAAUAUUGAACCGUGGGUGUUGUAUGAAAACCUUCCUCGCCUCCUGGCCAUAGAGGUGGUUUUAGAGGUAAUCAUCAGCGAACUGCUUUGGAAAGGCCUGAAAACAAGGAUGUGCGUAAAUAUCUUCUCUAUAUUGGAAAUGGGGCAAA